This 514-nucleotide ribosomal RNA is filed under the name uncultured Acidobacteriota bacterium. Its description in RNAcentral is "bacterial SSU rRNA". It matches the Rfam family "Bacterial small subunit ribosomal RNA", at positions 366 to 896 of the family's 1533-position model. The record is from RNAcentral. Lineage: Bacteria; Pseudomonadati; Acidobacteriota.
GCGCAAUGGGCGAAAGCCUGACGCAGCAACGCCGCGUGAGGGAUGAAGGCCUUCGGGUUAUAAACCUCUUUUGUCAGGGACGAUGAUGACGGUACCUGGCGAAUAAGCCACGGCUAACUACGUGCCAGCAGCCGCGGUAAUACGUAGGUGGCAAGCGUUGUCCGGAUUUACUGGGCGUAAAGAGCGCGCAGGCGGUCGUUCAAGUCGCGUGUGAAAGCCCCCGGCUCAACUGGGGAGGGUCACGCGAUACUGAUCGACUCGAAGGCAGGAGAGGGUAGUGGAAUUCCCGGUGUAGUGGUGAAAUGCGUAGAUAUCGGGAGGAACACCAGUGGCGAAGGCGACUACCUGGCCUGUUCUUGACGCUGAGGCGCGAAAGCUAGGGGAGCAAACGGGAUUAGAUACCCCGGUAGUCCUAGCCGUAAACGAUGGACACUAGGUGUUGGUGGUAUCAACCCCGCCAGUGCCGAAGCUAACGCAUUAAGUGUCCCGCCUGGGGAGUACGGCCGCAAGGCUA